Molecule: ribosomal RNA, 344 nt
Filed under: uncultured bacterium
Lineage: Bacteria
Description: partial 16S ribosomal RNA
Rfam family: Bacterial small subunit ribosomal RNA
Source: RNAcentral
CCUACGGGUGGCUGCAGUGGGGAAUAUUGCACAAUGGAGGAAACCCUGAUGCAGCGACGCCGCGUGCGCGAUGACGUAUUUCGGUAUGUAAAGCUCUAUCUGCAGGGAAGAAAAUGCCGGUACCUGACUCAGUAGCCAAGGCUAACUACGUGCCAGCAGCCGCGGUAAUACGUAGGGGGCAAGCGUUAUCCGGAUUUACUGGGUGUAAAGGGAGCGUAGACGGCGGUGAAAGUCAGAGGUGAAAGCCCGGGGCUCAACCCCGGAACUGCAUUUGGAACUGUGCGGCUAGAGAGUCGGAGAGGCAGGCGGAAUGUCUAGUGUAGCGGUGAAAUGCGUAGAGAUUA